Molecule: ribosomal RNA, 947 nt
Filed under: uncultured Clostridium sp.
Lineage: Bacteria; Bacillati; Bacillota; Clostridia; Eubacteriales; Clostridiaceae
Description: bacterial SSU rRNA
Rfam family: Bacterial small subunit ribosomal RNA
Source: RNAcentral
GAGNNUGGCUAGGAUGACGCUGGCGGCGUGCUUAACACAUGCAAGUCGAGCGAGGGAGCACCUUCGGGUGUGAACUAGCGGCGGACGGGUGAGUAACACGUGGGCAACCUGCCUUACAGAGGGGGAUAGCCUUCCGAAAGGAAGAUUAAUACCGCAUAUUAUGAUUUUUCUGCAUGGGAAAGUCAUGAAAGGAGCAAUCCGCUGUAAGAUGGGCCCGCGGCGCAUUAGCUAGUUGGUGAGGUAAGGGCUCACCAAGGCGACGAUGCGUAGCCGACCUGAGAGGGUGAUCGGCCACAUUGGGACUGAAACACGGCCCAGACUCCUACGGGAGGCAGCAGUGGGGAAUAUUGCACAAUGGGGGAAACCCUGAUGCAGCAACCCCCCCGGAGUGAUGACCGGCUUCGGGUUGUAAAGCUCUGUUCUUCAGGGACGAUAAUGACGGUACCUGAGGAGGAAGCCCCGGCUAACUACCUGCCAGCAGCCCCCGUAAUACCUAGGUGGCGAGCGUUAUCCCGAUUUUCUGGGCGUAAAGGAUGCGUAGGGGGGAUUUUAAGUGGGAUGUGAAAAACCCCGGCUCCACCUGGGAACUGCAUUCCCAACUGGGAUUCUAGAGUGCAGGAGAGGAAAGCGGAAUUUCUAGUGUAGCGGUGAAAUGCGUAGAGAUUAAGAAGAAAACCAUGGCGAAAGCGGCUUUCUGGACUGUAACUGACACUGAGGCAUGAAAGCGUGGGGAGCAAACAAGAUUAGAUACCCUGGGAGUCCACGCCCUAAACGAUGGGUACUAGGUGUAGGGGGGUUCGAUACCUCUGUGCCGCCGUAAACAACAUAAAUACCCCCCCUGGGGAGUACGGUCGCAGAUUAAAACUCUAAAGNAUUGACGGGGGGCCCCCACAAGUAGCAGAGCAUGNGGUUUAAUUCGUAGCAACGCNANAACCUUACCUNNACUU